Molecule: transfer RNA, 63 nt
Filed under: Porcellionides pruinosus
Lineage: Eukaryota; Metazoa; Arthropoda; Malacostraca; Isopoda; Porcellionidae
Description: tRNA-Asp
Source: RNAcentral
AGUUAGUUAGUUAAUAAUAUAAUAUAAGGUUGUCAAUCUUAAGUUUGGUUGGAUGCCUCAGAU